Molecule: ribosomal RNA, 450 nt
Filed under: uncultured Glomeromycotina
Lineage: Eukaryota; Fungi; Glomeromycota
Description: SSU rRNA
Rfam family: Eukaryotic small subunit ribosomal RNA
Source: RNAcentral
AGCAGCCGCGGUAAUUCCAGCUCCAAUAGCGUAUAUUAAAGUUGUUGCAGUUAAAAAGCUCGUAGUUGAAUUUCGGGGUUAACAGGUCGGUCGUGCCAUCGGUAUGAACUGGUCUCGCUGAUCCCUCCCUCUUGACGAACUGUGAUGCCAUUAAUUUGGUGUCGCAGGGAAUCAGGACUGUUACUUUGAAAAAAUUAGAGUGUUUAAAGCAGGCUCACGCUUGAAUACAUUAGCAUGGAAUAAUGAAAUAGGACGUUUGAUCCUAUUUUGUUGGCUUCUAGGAUUGACGUAAUGAUUAAUAGGGAUAGUUGGGGGCAUUAGUAUUCAAUUGUCAGAGGUGAAAUUCUUGGAUUUAUUGAAGACUAACUACUGCGAAAGCAUUUGCCAAGGAUGUUUUCAUUAAUCAAGAACGAAAGUUAGGGGAUCGAAGACGAUCAGAUACCGUCGUAG